Long non-coding RNA from Symphalangus syndactylus (siamang), 1091 nucleotides. RefSeq lists it as uncharacterized. The record is from RefSeq and is a predicted model, not a curated record. NCBI's taxonomy places the organism in Eukaryota, Metazoa, Chordata, Mammalia, Primates, Hylobatidae.
CCCUCUGCUCAGAAGGGCCUGUUCCCAGGCAGGUCUCAGUGCCCAGAAGUGGAGAGGGGGGCUGUGGAGACAGGUGGGGUCACCCCAAGAAGAGUGGGUUUGCAAAGCUGCAGCAGCAAGGAAGCUGUGGGGUAAAAAGUUUAUAAGAGGAACACUAUUUUUUCUUUUGGCAGAAUUUAAUGGGUGCAGAUUGUUCAGGUCCCAAAGACAUGGGAAAAAAAAAAAAAGAGAGAAAGAAAAAGCCCUUUGCUGCUGCUAUUGAUAACUUGUCUCGCUUCACGUGGUGGGUUCAAAACUAAAAAUACUCUCCUCCCAACAGUAGAGAAGCCAGGGCUGUCACGUUGCAGAGGAGACUGGAGAGCUGCGGUGGGGAGGGGUCAGCUGCGGCCACGUGAGGGCCAGGGCCAGGCCUCAGUGGCCAGGCCCCUCUCUGGCUGCCCAGGCUGCAUCCACACAGAAGAUUCCAUGGCUUUCCAUAAAAGAGAGUGGGAGAAUGUCCUCUCUAAAGGCCUGGGGAGUGCCUGGGGAGAGGAGACAGCCUCAGCCGGGGCUCACCAGCCAGCAGCUGCCAGCCAGGCCAGCAAUGCCAAGGCACCCGGCGUUCCUGGAAGCCAAGCCCUGUUUGAUCUAAUGGGGCAGCUGUGGGUGCAGACCCAGAUAAAGAGAUAAACCCAGACCCAGAAACCUGGAGGAGGAGGUGGGAGCAACAACCUCUCUUCCGCCUCCUUCACAGUGAGAGGAAAGGAAGCGGAAUGACAUAGAUGUGGCUGGGACUGCUGGACCCCGCACGCCAGCCCUGGGAGGGCCGGGGGAGUCACUUAACCUGUCUGGGGCUCAGUCUUCUCAUCUGUAAAGUGGGAAUGAUGGCACCUGGUACCCACUUGAUUGGCUGUUGCAAACAUGAAACCAGAUGGGCCUGUAAAUCACAGGGCACUCGGCCGCCAUCAUCAUCAUCAACAUCAUAUCCUCAUCAUCGUCUUCAGCAUCAUGGCCCCAGCUCAUCCAUCUUUGUUGCCUUCUCCACCCCCAUCUUCCAUCCUUGGAGAACUGUGCCUCUUGAAUUGGCCUCGUGACCUAGUAAAGAUUAUGAC